GCCAUCGUGGUGUAACGGUAGCACACUCGGCUCGUAUUCGAGAGGUUCAUGUUCGAGUCCCGGCAAGGGCA
Molecule: transfer RNA, 71 nt
Filed under: Stegodyphus mimosarum
Lineage: Eukaryota; Metazoa; Arthropoda; Arachnida; Araneae; Eresidae
Rfam family: tRNA
About the family: Transfer RNA (tRNA) molecules are approximately 80 nucleotides in length.
Source: Rfam by way of RNAcentral